This 254-nucleotide ribosomal RNA is filed under the name uncultured bacterium. RNAcentral describes it as "partial 16S ribosomal RNA". It matches the Rfam family "Bacterial small subunit ribosomal RNA", at positions 524 to 776 of the family's 1533-position model. The record is from RNAcentral.
UACGAAGGGGGGCUAGCGUUGCUCGGAAUCACUGGGCGUAAAGCGCACGUAGGCGGCUUCUUAAGUCAGGGGUGAAAUCCUGGAGCUCAACUCCAGAACUGCCCUUGAUACUGAGGAGCUCGAGUCCGGAAGAGGUGAGUGGAACUGCGAGUGUAGAGGUGAAAUUCGUAGAUAUUCGCAAGAACACCAGUGGCGAAGGCGGCUCACUGGUCCGGUACUGACGCUGAGGUGCGAAAGCGUGGGGAGCAAACAGG